Erinaceus europaeus (western European hedgehog) is the source of this 80-nucleotide non-coding RNA. Lineage: Eukaryota; Metazoa; Chordata; Mammalia; Eulipotyphla; Erinaceidae. The record is from Rfam.
GGGGAGAUAGCAUAAUGGUUAUGCAAAGGCCUUUCAAGCCUGAGGUUCUGAGGUCCCAGGUUCAACCCCUAGUACUACCA